Molecule: long non-coding RNA, 253 nt
Filed under: Salvia miltiorrhiza (redroot sage)
Lineage: Eukaryota; Viridiplantae; Streptophyta; Magnoliopsida; Lamiales; Lamiaceae
Description: long non-coding RNA (SMIL_LNC013985)
Source: RNAcentral
UUUCUCUCAUUCUUCUUCUUCUCCAUCACUCAUCUUCCCCAACACUCCACACACUAAACCCUAGCCUCCAACAACACACCCAUCUACCAUUGAAGACCAUUGAAGAGAAGAGAAGGAAGAAGAAGCUCAUAAAUAGGAUUUGUCAUUUCUUACUCUCUCUUUCAUUAUGUAUACCUUUAACUUUGAUUUAUUGUGUUUGAACAUGUUAGGCUAAAUUUCUCUUUGAUUUGGGGAUUAGGCUAGAUGAUUAUUG